UACGAAGGGGGCUAGCGUUGUUCGGAAUUACUGGGCGUAAAGCGCGUGUAGGCGGGUCUUUAAGUCAGGGGUGAAAUGCCAAGGCUCAACCUUGGAACUGCCUUUGAUACUGGAGACCUUGAGUCCGGGAGAGGUGAGUGGAAUUCCCAGUGUAGAGGUGAAAUUCGUAGAUAUUGGGAAGAACACCAGUGGCGAAGGCGGCUCACUGGCCCGUAACUGACGCUGAGGUGCGAAAGCGUGGGGAGCAAACAGG
This 253-nucleotide ribosomal RNA is filed under the name uncultured bacterium. RNAcentral describes it as "partial 16S ribosomal RNA". It matches the Rfam family "Bacterial small subunit ribosomal RNA", at positions 524 to 776 of the family's 1533-position model. The record is from RNAcentral.